This 158-nucleotide ribosomal RNA is filed under the name Blautia sp. AM28-27. RNAcentral describes it as "partial 16S ribosomal RNA". It matches the Rfam family "Bacterial small subunit ribosomal RNA", at positions 1 to 140 of the family's 1533-position model. Lineage: Bacteria; Bacillati; Bacillota; Clostridia; Lachnospirales; Lachnospiraceae. The record is from RNAcentral.
UUUUAUCAGAGAGUUUGAUCCUGGCUCAGGAUGAACGCUGGCGGCGUGCUUAACACAUGCAAGUCGAGCGAAGCGGCUGAAUUGAUUCUUCGGAUGAUUUUCGGUUGACUGAGCGGCGGACGGGUGAGUAACGCGUGGGUGACCUGCCCCAUACCGGG